Long non-coding RNA from Candoia aspera, 1298 nucleotides. RefSeq lists it as uncharacterized. The record is from RefSeq and is a predicted model, not a curated record. The transcript has 3 exons. Lineage: Eukaryota; Metazoa; Chordata; Lepidosauria; Squamata; Candoiidae.
CUUGUCCCCUUCAGCAGUAAUGGUUCUAGGUUUCUGUUUCUGAUAUCAGAGAUGUGACUUAAAUUCUGACUCACAGACUAGGAUUAAAUCAGUGUGCCAAAAGACAAGUGUCAAUUUCACACUUUCCAUUCUCUUAGAGCCUCUUCUUUAUUACCAUUUUAUUUAAAAUAUUUGUUCAGUGCCCUCCAUACCAGAGACCCCAGGACAGUGAGACAGCAAAUAUGUCAUAAAAUAUUAAAAUAUAUAAUACAAAUGUAAGAUUAAUGAGACAGCAGCAAGGCUCAGUGGAAAAUCUCAGGAAAAGGGCAAAACUGCUUUGUCAGGUAAGUACAGCUCAAAAUAGAAAGAGAGGUGAGGGAGGGAAGCAAAAGCAUUUUCUGAUGAAACCAUGUGUUAUACAACUUUGCUAAUUGGCACAUAUUUUGCACAGGGAUUGAUCAACUCUUCAGAACAGAGCAUUUGUAGAAGAAGGUGAAUCCAGUAAUGAGCAUGAAAUUGCUUCCUUGCCCACCAAUGCCAUUGGGUGAUUUCUAAAGCAUUUUGUCCCUCCCCUGGCAUGAGAAUGGCUGGGGCCAGAAAUGGCUAAUUGGAAAACAGAGAGAUGGGAUAAAUAUGGACCAACUUACCAUGGAUGGGACUGCACAGAAACCAUACCCACGUUUAAGUAGUAAAUAUUGAGUCAGCCCUCAGGUUGGGGCCAUAUUUCAAUGGAAAAAGAAAAGGAGAAGAGUGCUGCCAUGGAAAAAAAGCUGUCACAUAAAUAAUACAUACCAGGUUAUAUAUAAAUCCCAGGGUUAUUCUACUGACUGGGCUACAAGUUAUCUCUUCCUAACAGCACAUUUAUCACUUGCAACUGCAGAUGGAAAUCUCUAUUCCUACAGGGGCUUGUUUACACUGUCAGGGAUCCCAGUUUGUAGAGAAGCUAAUAUCCCUGAAUCAACAGUCUCCCAGGGCAAGGAAGAUGCGGCUGAUUCCAAGCUUCUCUUACUGUCUACUCCUACUGACCUCACUUCCAUCAAAAUAUGUCCAGGAAAAUAAGCAGCCAUCCCCUCUGCCUCUAAAAGGCAGCUUAAGGUCUUGCUCUUUCCAUCUUGAUAUCAAUCAGCAUAAACAGGAGAGACAAUUGCAAGGAGAGAUCACUUCACCCUCCAGGGUCUAUUCAAUCACCCCAGCCUCCCUAAUCGCAAACAGAUUAAACACACGCAGCCAGAUGAAGCUGAAAUGAAGGUUCUCCCACUGUGCUUAACCUAUUAUCAGCAUUACCAGACAUGUACUCAAGUCUGGUGCAGCAGUCCAUA